Molecule: long non-coding RNA, 592 nt
Filed under: Eutrema salsugineum
Lineage: Eukaryota; Viridiplantae; Streptophyta; Magnoliopsida; Brassicales; Brassicaceae
Description: long non-coding RNA (ESAL_LNC001103)
Source: RNAcentral
CCCAAUAUAAAUUAUUUCAUUACUCCAUUAAAAGGGUCUAGAAGCCAAUCAGCCAAUCCGGUAAAUAUGGAAAAACGAGAUACAAUCAAACGAGGUAAAAAAAGACUUUGCUUGGCCAUUUUAUUGGCAACUUGAUUUGCUUGACAAGGACUAAACAAAAGGGAAAUUGGGUGGAACUCUUUCUUACAAAGUCGAGAGUUCUUGGGCAUCUAUUUUCAAGAAGGCCCGACUAUUCUCUAUGUUAAGCCCAAGAAUACAUCCUUACAAGUUACAACCAUAAGUAAAUUCCACUCUUGAAAAGCCAAUUGUAAUAGUGAUGAGGCAGCCCAACUGAAAACCUCAACCUCAACGAGAAGGGUUAAACAAAUUUUUUUGCUACGAAUGUUAAUAUUCAUUAAAAUGAAAGUUGAGGGUGUUACAAGAAGUUAGACCUGAAAGUUGGGCAAAUGUUUCGUUUCCCCUUUUGCCAUCUCUCGCAAGUGAGCCCAUUGCUGCAUUGAUCUCCAUCUCUUCUUCAGCGAAAUCCAUAUACAUUAACAUUUUUUUUUUUGACACGAGGAAUUGUUUUUUACGUUUUGAAAUGGCAUCUUUC